This is a long non-coding RNA of Drosophila montana, 857 nucleotides long. RefSeq lists it as uncharacterized. The transcript has 2 exons. Lineage: Eukaryota; Metazoa; Arthropoda; Insecta; Diptera; Drosophilidae. The record is from RefSeq and is a predicted model, not a curated record.
UAAUAAUUUGAUGGGGCAGAGAAACGAAAAUGAAGCAGUAGCCGAGUUGUUUCUAAUCAAAAUAUCAAAUCUAUUGUAAAAUCGAUUUAGCUUAACGCACGAUUAGCAUAACUCGCCAACAUCUCUGCUAUAGUUAUUGAUAAUUUGUGGAUAAUAUGAACAAGAAAACAAUGCAGCUGAUUAUGCGAGUGGCUAAUGAGAGGAGUCACAGAUGAAGUCACAUUUCCGGCGCAGACAAACUUGAAAACCAGUCGCAUUAUUUGCACUGCGCAACGGUAGCCGUGGCAGAUGGAGACCCCGAAAUACAUACACUGAAGAAAAUCAAGUACUUCUUGAUCGUCAGAAACAACAAUUCAAACAGAGCAACAACACAUUGUGACAACAUGGGGCACAAACAAUGCAAAGCCCUGAGAACUGUUUGGACUUGUCAUCACUUGACGCUACCUUGAAGUGUGAAGCGGGUAGGGUAGGGAAGUGUGCGGCUAUGCUCGGCUCUGCGACUGACUGCAUUCGACAUACAGAUAAUUUGGUGGCACUGACGGUCUAAAUGCUGUCAGCUUCGGGCUGCCUGCCAUGAUUUAUCAGCGGAGACACCUCAGCGAUGGUUGCUGCAGAAGCUGCGCCUUUGGGGCACAGCCAAGUGGGCGUGCCAACAGACAUGCAUUGCUAAAGACAAUUGCCCCCCUGCUGAGAUGUAAAAUGCCUGCAGGGAUUAUCAAAAUGAAAAAAGGAAAUGCAUAAAAUAGAGGCAAGGCAGAGACUGGCAAGAUGAACGGAACAGAUGUCAGUUAUUUGCUAGAGACUUUUAUGCAUCUUAAAAUAUACUAAUGUAUCUGUAAGAUACUUUGUACCUAUGA